AUCCAAUUGACCAUCUUUAAUCGAGAUUUGUCCUCGGGUACAAUUGAGACAGGUGGUGCAUGGUUGUCGUCAGCUCGUGUCGUGAGAUGUUGGGUUAAGUCCCGCAACGAGCGCAACCCUUGUGUUUAGUUGCAAACAGGUCAAGCUGUGCACUCUAGACAGACUGCCGUGGACAACACGGAGGAAGGUGGGGAUGACGUCAAAUCAUCAUGCCCCUUAUGAUCUGGGCUACACACGUGCUACAAUGGCCGGUACAACGGGCAGCGAAGGAGCGAUCCGGAGCGAAUCCUAAAAAGCCGGUCCCAGUUCGGAUUGCAGGCUGAAACUCGCCUACAUGAAGUUGGAGUUGCUAGUAAUCGCGAAUCAGAAUGUCGCGGUGAAUGCGUUCCCGGGUCUU
This 397-nucleotide ribosomal RNA is filed under the name uncultured Fusibacter sp. Its description in RNAcentral is "bacterial SSU rRNA". It matches the Rfam family "Bacterial small subunit ribosomal RNA", at positions 986 to 1382 of the family's 1533-position model. Lineage: Bacteria; Bacillati; Bacillota; Clostridia; Eubacteriales; Fusibacteraceae. The record is from RNAcentral.